AGCAGUCGCCGCGGUAAUACCGAGGGUGCGAGCGUUAAUCGGAUUUACUGGGCGUAAAGCGUGCGUAGGCGGCUUUUUAAGUCGGAUGUGAAAUCCCUGAGCUUAACUUAGGAAUUGCAUUCGAUACUGGGAAGCUAGAGUAUGGGAGAGGAUGGUAGAAUUCCAGGUGUAGCGGUGAAAUGCGUAGAGAUCUGGAGGAAUACCGAUGGCGAAGGCAGCCAUCUGGCCUAAUACUGACGCUGAGGUACGAAAGCAUGGGGAGCAAACAGGAUUAGAUACCCCCGUAGUCCCUGUCUCUUAUAC
Molecule: ribosomal RNA, 303 nt
Filed under: uncultured bacterium
Lineage: Bacteria
Description: partial 16S ribosomal RNA
Rfam family: Bacterial small subunit ribosomal RNA
Source: RNAcentral